CAUUCCAGGACCAGUCACUUUUCAUUUGUUAUAGCAGCAUCCAAGAGAAGAAACUAACUGGAAAAUUUGAGAAUACUUCUGAAAAAGAUGAAAGUUCUCCUUCUGCUCACAGCCAUGUUGGCAGUAACCACUGGUUUUCCAGUCUCUCCAGAACAGGAAAGAGAAAAACGAAGCAUCAGUGGAAGUGAUGAACUACCUUCACAGCUUUUUGUGCCCCCUAACAUAUAUCCAUUUUUCCCAUAUCCACCAUUCCUAAAUCCAUGGUCUAGGUAUUUUUAUCCUCCCAUUCCAAUAGCUCUGUCUGGACCUACAGCUAUCCCUCCUAAAGAAGAAUUAUUAGAAAAGAAAAGUCCCAGUGCAAUUUAAGACGAAAUAGGUGGUCAAAUUGAAUGUGAGCCACUUCCUUGAAGAAUCAAUUGCCUUGUUAAUAAAAGAAAAAUAAACGUGAUUGAAGCAGCA
This is a long non-coding RNA of Phacochoerus africanus (Common warthog), 459 nucleotides long. RefSeq lists it as uncharacterized. The record is from RefSeq and is a predicted model, not a curated record. The transcript is spliced from 5 exons. NCBI's taxonomy places the organism in Eukaryota, Metazoa, Chordata, Mammalia, Artiodactyla, Suidae.